GUGAAGCAUCGAAUUUUUGAACGCAAAUUGCACUCCCUGGUAGUCCGGGGAGUAGGCCUGUGUGAGGGUCGUGAGAAUAAAAAAUCGAGGCGUCGCUCUUUGGUUGGGGGUGAUCGCGUCGGAACUGAGGCGGCUUUGAAAGGUGAAGGCAUGUCAAAGUGACUUAAAAUUCAUUAAUCCGAUACGGUUAAAAAGUAUGUAAGAGCAA
Molecule: unclassified non-coding RNA, 208 nt
Filed under: Glomeraceae sp.
Lineage: Eukaryota; Fungi; Glomeromycota; Glomeromycetes; Glomerales; Glomeraceae
Description: partial contains 5.8S ribosomal RNA and internal transcribed spacer 2
Rfam family: 5.8S ribosomal RNA (bases 1-71)
Source: RNAcentral